UACAGAGGGGGCAAGCGUUGUUCGGAAUUACUGGGCGUAAAGGGCGCGUAGGCGGCCGCCUAAGUCAGACGUGAAAUCCCUCGGCUCAACUGGGGAACUGCGUCUGAUACUGGAUGGCUUGGAUUCGGGAGAGGAAUGCGGAAUUCCAGGUGUAGCGGUGAAAUGCGUAGAUAUCUGGAGGAACACCGGUGGCGAAGGCGGCAUUCUGGACCGACAUUGACGCUGAGGAGCGAAAGCCAGGGGAGCAAACGGG
RNAcentral lists this ribosomal RNA (253 nucleotides) under uncultured bacterium. Its description in RNAcentral is "partial 16S ribosomal RNA". It matches the Rfam family "Bacterial small subunit ribosomal RNA", at positions 524 to 776 of the family's 1533-position model. The record is from RNAcentral.